Molecule: ribosomal RNA, 274 nt
Filed under: uncultured bacterium
Lineage: Bacteria
Description: partial 16S ribosomal RNA
Rfam family: Bacterial small subunit ribosomal RNA
Source: RNAcentral
AUACGGAGGGGGCUAGCGUUGUUCGGAAUUACUGGGCGUAAAGCGCACGUAGGCGGACUGAUCAGUUGGGGGUGAAAUCCCAGGGCUCAACCCUGGAACUGCCUCCAAUACUGUCAGUCUUGAGAUCGGAAGAGGUGAGUGGAAUUCCUAGUGUAGAGGUGAAAUUCGUAGAUAUUAGGAGGAACACCAGUGGCGAAGGCGGCUCACUGGUCCGAUACUGACGCUGAGGUGCGAAAGCGUGGGGAGCAAACAGGAUUAGAAACCCCAGUAGUCC